GACGAACGCUGGCGGCGUGCUUAACACAUGCAAGUCGAACGGUGAAGCGCCUUCCUUUUUGGUGGGUGUGGAUGAGUGGCGAACGGGUGAGUAACACGUGAGUAACCUGCCCCCUUCUUCUGGAUAACCGCAUGAAAGUGUGGCUAAUACGGGAUAUUCUGGGUCUGUCGCAUGAUGGGUCUGGGAAAGAUAUUGUUUCGGUGGGGGAUGGGCUCGCGGCCUAUCAGCUUGUUGGUGGGGUGAUGGCCUACCAAGGCGGUGACGGGUAGCCGGCCUGAGAGGGUGGACGGUCACACGGGGACUGAGACACGGCCCAGACUCCUACGGGAGGCAGCAGUGGGGAAUAUUGCACAAUGGGCGCAAGCCUGAUGCAGCGACGCCGCGUGAGGGAUGGAGGCCUUCGGGUUGUGAACCUCUUUCGCCAGUGAAGCAGGCCUGCCUAGUUUGUGGGUGGGUUGACGGUAGCUGGAGAAGAAGCGCCGGCUAACUACGUG
RNAcentral lists this ribosomal RNA (494 nucleotides) under uncultured bacterium. RNAcentral's name for it is "partial 16S ribosomal RNA". It matches the Rfam family "Bacterial small subunit ribosomal RNA", at positions 28 to 507 of the family's 1533-position model. The record is from RNAcentral.